GAUGAAGAACGCAGCGAAAUACGAUAAUUAAUGUGAAUAGCAGAAUUCCGUGAAUCAUCGAGUCUUUGAACGCACAUUGCGCCUCAUGGCAUUCCGUGAGGCAUGCCCAUCUCAGCGUUAGAAAAUAUUCUCAAAUUUUAGUUUUGUGCUAAAAUUUGGAUCAUGUCAAGGAAGCUAUUACUAUUAUUGUGAUCGCUCUUUGGAAAUUGAUAGGUCUUUGAGUUGCUACUCAUAGAACGUGAUGAAUCUUUCUUCGUUCUAUUGUAAUUCACUCUGGUAGUCCUAAAACUUGUAUGCCUGUGGCAUAUCUUGUAAUUUGACCUGAGAUUGGGUAGGGAUACCCGCUGAACUUAAGCAUAUCAAUAAGCGGAGGA
This 374-nucleotide unclassified non-coding RNA is filed under the name soil metagenome. RNAcentral describes it as "partial contains internal transcribed spacer 2 and large subunit ribosomal RNA". The stretch from base 1 to 120 matches the Rfam family "5.8S ribosomal RNA", at positions 35 to 154 of the family's 154-position model. The record is from RNAcentral.